AUGCCACCAACUAACCUAUUCAUGUCAAGAUUAAUGCUAUCAAUUUCCUUCCUAAUCUUGACAUGCCUUGUCGUCGACCGUCGUCUUAAACGCCCUCGCUCGACAUCAUCACGCGCCUCCGCGCCCGCUGCGACGUAUCGUGUGCCUGCCGUCGCCAGAGUCGAUCCAGCUCGCGUCGUUGUCGUCGUCACAGCCAUGAGCCAGCCUGUGGACCCGACCUGGCGCACCGACGCCGGUCGCACCGUGCUCCGUCACGACUCCGGUGACACACACCAAGCUCCUUCUCCGCCGGCGACACACCCUGGCGUCCCUUCGCGCCCCGCACGUCCCGCGCGCAACCAACGCGCCCGACGAGCCCGACCGCACCAGUGCGUCCCGCACGUCCCGCGCGCAUCCGACGCGCCCGACGAGCCCGACAGCACCAGACGCUCACCGUGUGCCGCCUCCGCGUCCGCCAUGGCAGCCGCCACGCCGCGCCUACGUGUCACGUACCUUCCACGGUUGUCGCCCCGAACCGUCGCGACCUCUGCGCCACCACGCAGGUCCUUCGCGACCUCCUCGUCUCUGCGACCGCCGUGCCCUUCGCGCACACUCCCCACGUCCCCGUGCUCCCGGCCCGCGCUCCCGCCGCGCACGUACGCGAUCUGCGCAACCAGGUCCAGCGCCUCGACGCGGUCCACUCCCGUGGUCCCGACGCGUCCAGUGCGCACCCAUAACACGCACCGGUCGCGCCUGGCUCGCCGCCGCAUCUUAUUGCCCUGCACCGCCACGGCCUCCAUGCCGCCAUGCAGUGCCUCCACGCCUCCACACCGUGUUGCGCCGCCGCGCCACCACGCAGCGCCUCGGCGGCCUCCGCGGUCGCCGCACGUACGACGUCACCGCCCGCCGCCUCCGCCACGCGCUCGCCGCGCGCCGCAGCCGAUGCCUCCAUGUCGGCCGCGUCCUCCUCACCGCGCCGCGCACCUCCAUAGACCGACACACGGCCUGGAGCUUCACCGUGCAGCCGCCGGCGAAUGCCGCCACCGCCGCCACGCCUCCGACACGGCAAGCACGCCCAAGACACCAAGCUCAUGA
RNAcentral lists this ribosomal RNA (1074 nucleotides) under Triticum aestivum (bread wheat). RNAcentral's name for it is "partial small subunit ribosomal RNA". Lineage: Eukaryota; Viridiplantae; Streptophyta; Magnoliopsida; Poales; Poaceae. The record is from RNAcentral.